Molecule: long non-coding RNA, 22774 nt
Filed under: Vitis vinifera (wine grape)
Lineage: Eukaryota; Viridiplantae; Streptophyta; Magnoliopsida; Vitales; Vitaceae
Description: long non-coding RNA (VVIN_LNC000600)
Source: RNAcentral
UCCUUCUUGCUCAUGAGCAAUUCAAGCUGCAAGUUAGAUUGAUGAAGGCUUCUUCCCUGCAUGGGAUUGUGAGACCACCCAAUGGAUGAUCAAACCCGAAUUCUUCUUCAGCCUGACUUAGCAAGCUUUGGAAUGAAGGGUGCUUCAAGUAUGAAAUUGGAAUCACAAAUCUCUUCUUCUGAGUUUCUCCAACAUAGACAGGAACAUAGCCUUUGGGCACACUUGUGGACUCUGGAGAUGGAAGGAUGCGUCUCAGGAUCUGCUUGGCAGGAAUAAUCCUCUGAAAACGGAUGGCCAUGAGUUUCAAACUUAGUUCUUUGAACGAAAGUGAUGAUGAAAAAUGGAUUCUAAGAGUUUAGAAAACAAGAAAGCUUUGGGACUUGAUGGAUAUGCCCUUAGAAGAGGUAUAUUUAUAGAGUAAUGCUAUAUGGUCGGUAUUCUCCAAUGGAAUGAAUGGUGAAGAGGCUACAGCAAUGGGGUCCCUUGAAGAGGAUAUAUCACAUGGCUUUGCCUCCCAACUAAUAAUAAGAUUUUGACAGCAUUCAUACUGAUAUACAUUUGUUGCUUCAUCAUUGCCUACCUCUUAGCAAAACAAUCAACAGAGCCCCACUCCACUUGAAAUUAUUUUGUAUUGCAUCCAGCUGAUAUAACUAGCUGUGUUAUAACUUAAGACUACUGCAUAUCAGAACAGCCAAGUUAUCUUUUGAUGUCAUGAUCUUUCUUGUUGCCACACAGGUGGGGUAUUUGUGCUGAGGGUGACCUUUCAUCUUGAAUUUGUUGGGAUGAAAGAUAGAAUGGAAGCAUUGAACCAGCAGAGCAUAUGUUAUUGUUCCAUGAUCUGAUGUCUAGACUCAAACCGACCAGAUUCACCAAACCCUAGCUAAGCAUGAAUUGGAUAAAGGAGGCUUUCAUUUCACUGGUCAACUCAAAAAUUUCAAUUCUUAGACCAAGUACCACCACUAGCAGCCUAAGUACUUGGCAACAAGAUAAGGAAUCUUAGCGACUAAAGCGUUGAAUUGCAAAUGAUUAGAAGCCUGUAUAUAACUUAGCAUAUAUAUAUAUAUAUAUAUAUGUUCAUAUAUUUGGAGAUUUGUUUCAGAAAACACACUGUUUGUCUAAAUGCAUCCUAAUAGGAAAUCAUGUUGCAGCUUAUAGAAAUGGUGAGUACUGCUGGAUCUUGAUGGUACCUUGCGUUGUUUAAAUUGAUGGAGCUAUAACUAUAGCAGAGAAUAUAGCAUUUUGGUCUCUCAAAAACAAUUCAUCAGGUGAAAUAAACAAGAAAGAUAUGACAACGUAAUUUCUGUCAUUUUCUCAUGUAGUGUAACCUAUAUUCUCUCUCUCUCAAAAAAAAAAAAAAAAAAAAGUUACACAGAAAGGAGAAAAGGAUAUACAUGGGAUUGCAUUCAUUCUUUACAAAAUUGUCAACAGUGAAAUGAGAAGUAAGAUUGAGGAAAAUAUCUUCUCUGCAAGGGAUUCUGGGACAGCCCAUUGGAUGAUCAGAUCCAAAUUCUUCUGCCUUAUGGAGAAGCACUUGGAAUGUAGGUAGGUUCCAGUAACCUUCUGAAUAUCUGCAGCUGCUGAAACUGCUCUUGCAGUCAUAAUAGAUUUGUGGAGAAUUUAAUUUCUUAGCAUGAACAAGACCAGCUGGAAGGUGGACGACCCAUAAUUUUUUAUAGGUAAAUCUCUUCAACAGAAGAAUGAACAAGCUUGGGCAAGCUUCGGCUUGCAAAACAGAGAAAGCUUUGGAAGUAGAGAAUUUGAACACCUAUGUUGAUUGUAAUACUAGCAUACGAGUAUAUAUAGAAGGAAUGGUAUAUUUGAAUAAAUUGUGGAAGGAGUGGUAUGAAGAUAUUUGGAUAGUAGAUGCAUAUGAAUAUUUGUACAAAAAAAUGACCCACUUGAAAUCAAGAAGAUAGGAGAAACUCUUUUUGAUUUAAGAACAGUACAAAGCUCAAUAUGUACAUGCACUAGUAGCAUGCUUGAGACAUCUGAUUCUUUUCAGUCUUCUUAGCAAGGAACCAUAUAUUAGACAUGCAAGCCUAUCUAAAUAACAACUUGGUUUGAAUUGAGUCUCCCCCAGCUUGAACUCACCUGUCAAUCCUACCAAGUGAUUUGAACAUGAUUCUCUCCUGACAGAACAGAUACUGGCUCAGUUGAUGCAGAUGAAUUAUGAAUAUAUACACUCUAAAUUUUAAAUCACUGAUCGGCUCUGAUAUUAAUUAAUGUUCAGAUAAACAAUAAAGGAAUUCAAGGUAUAUUUAUAGCUGGAGGUAAAAGGAAAACAGCAGUUAACAUAUCUCCAACAGAAAUCACUGGCAAUGCGCUACUUUAGUACACCAACUAGCAAGGGACACCCUUUUGAAGAGCACAUGAAGUGUCUCCCACUACCCCCUAGGCAGUGGGAUCCAUUUUAACCACCAGAGUGCUAUUGUUACAGAUGAUGUUAUUCUAAGGAAAUGAAAUUCAAUAUUGCAAAGCAAUCCUUGAUUGAAAUUUGAGCUCUAGGUUGAGAACAGAGGAAACAGAUUAAAUCAAUGGGAAAGCAGAAAAGUAAGAGAUUCUAUUUGAUCCUUUUAUAUGAAGAGAAUUGGCUAUCAACUUUCUUUACAGAAAAAAUGUAUAAAAUAAUUUUACAAGUGGAAAUGAAACAGCCCAGUUCUCCUAAUCCAAAAAUGGAGACUGGUUUAUGAGUCAAUGGCGUUAGAGACUCUGCAUCCUAGAGCCUAGUCAUUUGCAUAUCUUUCUCCUCUCAUGGGCUGUUCAAAUAACAACUGAGAUUAAUAAAGGCUUCUUCUGUGCAUGGGAUUGUGAGACCACCCAUUGGAUGAUCAAACCCGAACUCUUCUUCAGCCUGACUCAACAGGGUCUGGAAUGCAGGAUUCUUCAAGUAUGAGAUUGGAACCACAAAUCUCUUCUUUUGGAUUUCUCCCACAUAAACAGAAAAAUAGCCUUUAGGCACAUUCUUGGACUCAGCACCCACAUGUGCCCGCUGCAGGAUCUGCUUAGCAUUAACAAUUCCAGGCAAAUGAAAACCCAUGACUUCUAUGGACUCAGAAAAGUAAAGGUAAGGAAACUGGUACUCUGAGAUCUCUUAGAAUAAGAAAAGUUUGACAGUGGGAUACCAUAUCCAUAGGAUGAGUAGAAUAUAUAUAGAGCAAGCAAAUUCUGUAUGGCCAAUAUUCUUUGGUGUUGAGAAGUCUCUAAUGUUAGGGUCCAUCUGUAGACAUUCAUGACAAGGGUUCACAUGGUUUUGCUUCCCAACUAAUAAUAUGAUUUUCAGUGGUCUUCCUUCUGAAAUUUAUUUGCUGGGAUCAUCAUGGCCUACUUCUUAACUAUCAAAACUAAUUUGAAAAGCCCACUUGAAAUUACUUGUUUAGUUAUCUGGCAAUUAAUCUGACUCUUGAUCUAUAUCAGCCAACAGGUGGGGACAAUGUUCAUUGAUGCACUAAGAAUAGCUCACCCAUAGUGUAUGUUUGAAAUUUGUUGGGGUUCUAAAAAACACAAAUUAUCAGCUCAUGUGAUGAUGUUUCUUGAAAUGAAUUAUCCAUAUAGGCAAUCAUAUUAUUUAAAGUACUUGUCAAGGUGUUAAACAACAAAGUGAAACAAAGGAAAAUGUAAUGGCAACUGGCAAGGAAUGGAUUUGAUAAUAAAACAAUGCCCGUCUCCUGUCCCCAUUUGUCCUACCAUUGGAAAUGCCUCACUCGGUUUUCAGACUCGAACAUAAUCCUUCUCAAUAGAUUCAAGUUCUAAAAUUCUGUUCAGAUGCUUUAUCAAAGAUAUAAUCAACAUUAGCACUUCUACAAACAUGCUGAUUGGUUUCUGAUGAGUUUGAAGAAUCCAAACUGUAAUAGACAUGACAAAAUGGGCACCACUUGCCUUUUAGAUGAUGUUGAAUUAUGAAGGUUCAAAGAAGGCCAUUCAUUUGAGAUUACAUUUACAUUUUGACUACUAUUUCUCUAAGCCAUCAGUUACAACAACAGGAAUAGGAUAUUCAAACUUCAAUUUAUUUAUUUAUUUUUAUUAAUAACCAUAAUCAUAAGUUGUUCUUUCCUAAGAUGUUACCGAAUAUGCCCUUAGUUGAAGAUUUAGUUUUACCAGAAUGAUAGAAACCGAAAUGUUUAAACAAAGAUUAAUAGAUUUUGAAGGGCAAAUGAAGUAACUCUCUAAAUAGAUUUGGUCUUGUGGCAAUAACUUUUACUAAAUGGCUGUCAGGGAAAGACAAAUAACAUAAGAAAAAGGUAAAGCUAUUAAAUUAAGAUGAACAAAUUUGGUUGCAAACUUGUUUUCCAGAAAAAUAGAAUAAAUAUACAUUGUUCUCUUAAGGAAAAAGAAAAAAGGAAAAAAAAAAAAAAAAAAACCAACUCAUAAUUCAAAAAUUGUUGGGUUGGUUUCUGUGGUCAAUGGUGUUAUAGAUUUGGUAUCCUCCAGGCUGAUCAUUAUGUGACUCUCCUCCUUGCUCAUGAGCAAUUCAAGCUGCAAGUUAGAUUGAGGAAGGCUUCUUCUCUGCAUGGGAUUGUGAGAUCCCCCAGUGGAUGAUCAAACCCGAACUCUUCCUCAGCCUGACUUAGCAAGUUUUGGAAUGAAGGAUGCUUCAGGUAUGAAAUUGGAAUCACAAAUCUCUUCUUCUGAGUUUCUCCAACACAGACAGGAACAUGGCCUUUAGGCACAUUUGUGGGCUCUGGAGAUGGAAAAAUGUGUCUUAGGAUCUGUUUGGCAGGAAUAAUCCUCUGAAAAUGGAUGGCCAUAAGUUUCAAACUUAGUUCUUCAAACUAAAGUGGUUGUGAGAGAAGGUUUUCUAGGUGUUUGGGAAGUAAGAAAAGCCUUGAUACCUGGUGGAUAUGCCCAUAGAAUAGAUGUAUUUAUAGAACAAAUGCAAUAAGGCCAGUUUUCUCAAAUGGAAUGAAUGAUGAAAAGACAAUUGCAAUGGGGGUCCGGGUCCCUUAAAAAAGACAUAUCACAGGGCAUCACAAGGUCUUGCCUCUGAUGCUUUCAUAUAUUUGUUGGUACAUCUUGGCCUACCAUUUAACAGAACAAACAGAGUAGCCCCACUCAAAAUUAUUAUCAUUGUAUUGCAUCCCACUGAUUAUAAUGUAUCGAAUUGAUCAUGUGGACAAAAACAUAACUAGAAGGACUAAAAUGCAGACCAGACUUCUCAUAAUAAUGGACAAAAUGCUACAAACUAUAGCAGACCACAAGUACCAGAUGUGUUAUAUAGGUUAUGACAGUACCAAAUAUCAGAGAAGACAAGUUAUCCUCUAAUGUGAUGUUUUUUGCUACCAUACAAGUAAGAAAUUAGUGCUGAGUCCGAGUCUUCAGCCUGAAUUUAGAGAGGCGAAAGAUUGAAUGGACUCAUUGAACCGACAUGGCAUAUGGUAUUAUUCAAAUGAUGCUGAUGUCUAGACUCGAACAUACCUGAUAGUGACCAAACCCUAGCAAAACAUAAAUUGGAUAAAGAAGCCUUUUAUUUCAACAGUCAAGUCAAAUAUUUCAUACCAUAUAUAUAUGGUAUUGUUCUCAUUUAGGAAAACCUGUUUUCUCUUAGAAAAGAAUUUAAGGAGGACAAAGGAGAAAAAAUGUACAUGGGAUUGCAUUUCCUUCCUUACAAAGUUGUCGUUUUUUCUUUUCAUUUCCUUUGGUAAGCACUUUUUAUACAUGCAGCCCCGUCAAACAAGAAGUAAGAUCUAGGAAAAUAUCUUCUCUGCAAGGAAUUCUGAGACCACCAUUUGAUGAUCAAAUCCAAAUUAUUCUUCUGCCUUGUGUAGUAGCUCUUGUAAUAUAGUAGCUCAAUUGUUGAAAUAUAUAUGAAGUCCUCUAACUCACUGUCCAGGGCAAAUCAAUCACAAAAUCAUAGUGCAGACCAGGUUCUGACAUGAAGUAAUGAUUCGUGAACUAAAAGAUAGUAUAGCCAGAUGCUGGAAGACAACCGAGAAAAUCAUACAAAUCCUCAUGUCUGAAUUCCCAUAAACCUGAACUAGACAAUGUAAUAUCUCUCUUCUUUCCCCUCUUGUCUGAAUUCCCCAUAAACCUGAACAUGUCCCAAGCCUUCCCUCCUAAGCAUUUUCCAUGCAUUUGAAUCAAGGAACUCAGUUGCAAGACUCCAUGUAUCACAUCUGUAAUGGGACACACCGCAUUGGAAUUCAUCUGUUUAUCUAGCUUAUAGAUCAGUUCAUCUCCAAAAUUUGAGAAACAUUAGCUCCUCAAGGCUUUAUCCUCCACCUCAUAGACGGUAAUUGCAAAGGUGUAUAUGUACAUAAUAUGCCCUGCCGUUUAUUAGAGAACUAUGAAAAAAGGAUCCACUUGAAACCCCAGAUAUGGAGAAACCUCUUGUUGAUUUAAGAACAGUACAAGCUCAAUCUAUUCAUGCAUUAGAGGCAUGCCUGAGAAAAUCUAAUUCCUUUCUGUCUUCUUGGGGAGGAGACAGAAUGGGGACUUCAUUGGCCACAUGGGUAACUUUCUUAUUACUAUUCACUUAAUUUCAUAGGUGCUGCCAUCCCACAUUAGACCAUUCAUAGCUAUGUAAAUAACAAUUCAUUUUCGACUGAGUUCUCAAUAGCUUGACCUCAAAUAGAUUGAAUUUUUUUCAUAUAUAUAUUUUUUUUAGAAAAAAAAACUGGGUUUUGAAUCUUUAACCAAAUCCAUAUACUCGGAAUAGAUUCAGAAUUUAAUUGAAUAGAUGUAUCUAGGGAGAAUUCACUUUGAAGCGACUAUUCCCUAGAUACACAUGCGGGAUAUUUUAUUUCACAAUUAAAUCAAUUUAAAUUUUAAAAAGACCUAAAGUUAGGGAUUUAUCAAUAGGUAAUGUUGCUCCAAUACCCAAUAAAAAAAAACGGUUGUCGCUACUGGACGACGAAAUGGAUUUUGGAAUUUAUUAACAUUUUCCAAAAAAACCUUUCAAUCCAACCAAAAAAUUGUGACACAAAAAUGACCGAGUAGUGUUAAGAGUAGAAUACAAGGGAAUGGCAUGGAAAAAAGUCAAAGUCAAAAGAAAUCCUUCAUAUUCUUUAUGUGAAGCUCAAAACAGAGAUCAUUGCUGUCAUGUGGCAUCCCAGUUUUCAUUUGCUUGGAAUUGUUAUUAGAAAAAGCGACCCUUCAUAUUGAAUUUGGAUAAUCUUUCUAGGAGGCCUUCAAAUUUGAGUCGGAGAAACACAUGGACAAGGACAUCUGAAUAAUAUGAUUGCCUAUAUGGCUAAUUUAUUCCAAGAAACACCAUCACAGGAACUGAUGAUGAUUUGUGUCUCAAUCUUAUUGUCUGCUAAUGUCAUAAGAAAUGAAUUACUGGUAAUUUUCGUGUUUAUCAGAACACCAACAAGCUUCAGACAUACAUCACUGGAAGGCUAUGGUUAGCCAAAUGAAUGUAGUCCCUACAAGUUGGUUGAAAUAGCAAACAGUUUCAAGUGGGCUUCUCCAGUUUGUUCUGCUAAAUUUAAGCAGUAGGCCAUGACAAGUCGUCAUUCAAUAAAUUUUCAGGAUUAAGACCACCAAAAUCUUAUUAUUAGUUGGUAGGCAAAGCCAUGUGAUCCCUUGUGUUGAAUGUCCACAGAUGGACCCUAUCAAGGACUUCUAUUCACACCAACUCCAUCUGAGAAUACUGGCCAUACAGAACAUGCUUCCUCUAUAUAUAUUCUACUCAUCAUAGGGAUAUGGCAUCCCACUGCCAAAGAUAUCUUUUUCUAACACAUAAGAGUACCAUUUUCCCUACCAUUACUUUUCUCUGAUCAUACGCUUCAUGGGUUUUCGCUUGCCUGGGAUUGUUAAUGCUAAGAAAACCCUGCAGCAAGAGCGCAAGGGUGCAGAGGCCAAAAAUGUACCAAAAGGCUAUUUUGCUGUUUAUGUGGGAGAAGUUCAGAAGAAGCGAUUUGUAGUUCCAAUCUCAUACUUGAAGAACCCUUUAUUCCAGAACUUGUUGAGUCAGGCUGAAGAAGAGUUCGGGUUUGAUCAUCCAAUGGGCGGUCUCACAAUCCCCUGCACAGAAGAAGCCUUUAUUAAUCUUACUUGCAGUUUGAACUGCUCAUGAGAGGAGAGGAAGAUAUGCAAAUGGCUAGUCAGUAGGACAUGUAAUUUCUAACACCACUGACUUGAAAUCCAGUCUCUCCAAUUUUGAAUUAGGAGAACUGGGUUGUUUCAUUCCCACUCGUUGUAACUUAUUCUAUACAAUUUUAGUCAAAUUUCUCCAUACAUAACAUUCAAACAGAAUCUUUGUUUUUCUUCUUUUCUCAUUGAUUUUGCUUCCCCUGGUCUCCUUGUAUAAGUAGUCACCAUGGAUAUGCACAUAAAUUUAAGAGAAACAAAAAAUCCCAGAAGUUUAGGCUUUCUUGAUGACUUUUAGCUCCUUCACUGCAGAUACUGAUGUGCAUAUGCCUGUCAUAAAUAUUUGGGCAGAAUAUGGUCACUUUCCACUUACGUCAACCAAAAUCUAAACCUUCAGUCCAGGAGUUGCUUUUCAAUUAUGGUCAGUGAAUAGACCCGCUGUAGGCGUUGGGGUCUUGUUUCUUCCUUUCUUUUUAUCAUCAUCAUCUCAUUUUCCCCAUUCGUUGCAGCUAUUAAAGCUAGAGGCUUAGCUUACUCUAUUCAAGACUAUAUUUGAAAACUAUUUUCAGUUCAACCAGACAUUAUCGAUUUUGAUAUUUUGCAAUGCAGUUUUACCAUAUAUACUGUAACCUUGAUGGGGUUAGGCCUGUUUUUCUUCCUACUUCUGUUCAGCAUCAUUGAAUAAAAAGGCAACAAAAAUUAGGGAAAAGUAGCAAGCUGCCAGGUUGUCAUUUCCUAGUGAUAAUAUAAUCCAUUCGACUUGCACCCUGGUAUUAAAAAUGGUCCAACUGUGAGUGGAACUAGUAGGAAUCAUUUCAUGUGCUCUUCACAAGGGUCCGUUGCAAGCUGUUGUACUAAAGCAGCUCACUGCCAGUGAUUUAUGUUGAUGACAUGUUAACAGCAGCUUUACUUUUUCAUUCAGCUGAGAUAUACCUUGAAUAUAUUUGAUUUUCAUGUUUGUUAUGGUUUAUGUUCAAUGUUUAUUUCCAUAUGGGUUGUUCUUUUAUGGUUCUUAAUCGACAAUAGGCUUCUCCUGUCUGCACAUCUUGGAUUUGGAGUGGGUCCCCUCCAAGAAAUGGUAGGGCAUCAUGUGUUUCAACAUUAUGGUAGGUCCCCUUCAGAAGGUCUUGUGUCUCAAAAGAAAAGUUCCCUGCCCUUUCAUCUAUAUAUACACUCAAUCUUAAAUUUGAAAUCAUAAGUCUUUGAUUGUCUACCACCAAAGAUUUAAUUCCUUCAUCCUACAUUUCCCCUAAAAUCUUUUUCUUGUUUUUUUACUAUAGAUAUAUUUGCAAUCUCCCCUAUAAAUCAUGGGCAUCUAUCAAAGAUCUGUGUGUUGAACACACUAUUCAAAUAGAGGAUCAGAGACAGUUCUGAAAUUGAAGAAACAAAUUAUCAAUUUAUCAUUCCUUUUCUUCUCAUCUCUUUAAGAACCACUUGACUAAAUCUUACCAGAAGAAAUUGGGAAGCUGAAAGCUAGACAUUUGAGGAUUUGAGAUGGAAAAAAUUUACAAUAUUGUAAGGUUUUCUACAUAGGAAGAAAUGAAUCUUUUUGUUCCCUCAGGUUAAGCUUGAGGCCAAGGGCGCUUGGUGUGCCUGCAAUAUGCUGCAAGUCAAACACUUGUGAGGCAGUUGGCUUCACGACACAAGGAUUAACCAAUAAAUUUGUUUAGGAUUUUGGGGAGCAUAUGUUUCAAACCAAGAAUGCCCACUUUAUGAAUAACAGAUGCUUUGUAUUUGGACUUGGAAUUCCUGAAGUUCCAUAGGCAUAUAAGUGCUAUAAGCCUAUAGUUUCCCUGUUUACCAACAAAAUGCUAUGUUCUUCCUUUUUCAAUAAGUACUGAUAGUAUUAAUUCUUCUAAAAGUUUCUAAGUCGUCAGUAGACGGCUAGUGUUUGUCCUUCAACAUGGCAGUGAAACAAAUCCCCAAUUAUUUGUACUACACCAUCUAAUGGAUAAGCUAUCUUUUGAAAGAUAUAAUGUGAUGGCCACGCAAUUAACUCAAAGCCAGAGAUAUCUAGGCUUCUAAUUAUUUGAAAUUUGACAAGUGUCACUAAGAUUCUUCAUCUCAGAAUCCAAAUAUUUAGGUUCCUGAUGGUUGUGUGUUGCCUCACAAUUGAAACAUUUGAGUUUGACCACUGCAAUAAAAGACUUUAUCCAAUUCAUCAUUUUCAGGGGUUUGGUGAUUCUAGUUGAUUUGGGUAUAGACAUAAACAUCAUAGAACCAUACCAUAUGUUAUGUUGGUAUGGUGCCUCUGUUCAGUCUUUCAUCUCCCAAAUUCUGGCUGAAGGUUGUAUUUGUUAAAAUCUGGAGAAAAAUAAGGAACUAAAACUUGCAGAAAAUAUUAGAGUACUGAGUUGGAGAAAGGCACACAAAUAUUUCACCAAUGAGAAUGCCUAUUUAUAGGCUUACAACCAAACUGAAAAUACUAAAAACUCUCAGCUGCUAUGACUACUUCUACUAACAGAAAAACUGAAAAUUAUGGAGCAAAACAGAGACUGAGUCUAACUAAGACAUUUUCAAAGGCAAACUCUCAUGAAUUCUAACAGUAUUCGGCCCCAGAUCCUCACUUGUCUGCUCUAAUAUUCAGCAGGGGUGGCCUGCUAUAGUUUGAAGCAUUUUGUCCUUGAAUACAAGAAACCUGGUCUAUAAGUUAGUCCCUGAAGUUAGGCUUUUAUCCAAAUUAUCAGUAGGAGAUAAAUUGCAUCAGUCGGAUGCAUCACAAAAAUAAUAAUUUCAAGUGGGCCUCUGCUGUUUGUUCUGUUAAGUGGUAAGCCACAAUGAACCAGAAAAUAUAUCACAAUAUGAAUGCUAUCAGAAUCUUAUUAUUUGUUGGGAGGGCAAACCAUGUGACUCUUUGUGAGUUAUCUCCUUUAAGGGACCCCAUUGCAGGAGCCUCUUCAUCACUCAUUCCACUUGAAAAUACUGACCAUACAGCAUUUGCUCUAUAAAUAUACCUACUCUAUGGGCAUAGAUCCACCAAGGUUCAAAGCUUUCUUAUAUUCUAAAAUCUUUGAAAUCCUUUCCCACCAUCACUUUUUGAGAAACCAAAUUUGAAACUCAUGGCCAUCCGUUUUCAGAGGAUUAUUCCUGCCAAGCAGAUCCUGAGACGCAUUCUUCCAUCUUUGGAGUCCACAAAUGUGCCAAAAGGCCAUGUUCCUGUCUAUGUUGGAGAAACUCAGAAGAAGAGAUUUGUGAUUCCAAUUUCAUACUUGAAGCAUCCUUCAUUCCAAAACUUGCUAAGUCAGGCUGAGGAAGAGUUCGGGUUUGAUCAUCCACUGGGUGGCCUCACUAUCCCAUGCAGAGAAGAAGCCUUCAUUGAUCUAACUUACAGUUUGAACUGCUCAUGAGCAAGGAGGAAGAUCUCAAAAUGGAUGGCUUCAAGCUCUCGUCUCUCUAACACCACUUACCCCAAAAUCCAGUCCCAACAAUUUUGUAUUACUGAGAAAAAGGUCUUUUUGAAGUGACAACGAUAUAGUUUUCUUCUAUUUUUCUGUAAAGCAAUUAGUUGACAGUCAAAUGUCUUCAUCUUAAUCACACAGAAAUAACCAUGUUCCUUUCUCUUCUUUUCAAAAGAAAGCAUGUUGUUUCUUUUCUCCCUUGUGAUUCCUCACUAGCCAAGAAGAUGUUUCAUUUUCUCAGUUUUUCGUCUUUCCAUUACAUCCAUCCAACAAUUGGCUUCUCCUUAUGUGUAAAGCACCAUCAUUCUAAUUUGUAAAACACCCAGCUCUGACAUUGAAAUAAAACUUCAGAUAAACAUGAAAGACGUAAGCUGCCAUCAACAUGAAAAGUAGAGAUAUAUUCAAGGAAUAUUCACAGCUGGAGGCAAAAGGGAGAACAGUAGUUAACAUUGGAAGUGAGAUACUUUAGUACACCAACUUGCAAGGCACACUCUCAUGAAGAGCACAUGAAGUGCCUCCUACUAGGCCCAAGGCAGUAGAAUCCAUUUUAAAACACAAGAUCAUUGGUUGCAGUGUUGACUUGGAAAAGUUGAAUCAUUAACAUGGCCCUUCCUCAUCUCUCUCUUUCAAUUUUUGUUGAAUAAAACUGAAUGAACGACUUAGCCCCGUGAAGAUCAAUUAAAUAUGGUAAAUAUUUAUAUAUAACUUGUAUCAACUCACUCUUACUAAUCAUGGACAUAUUAUCCAUUUUGGGACUAAAGUACCCUUAUGGUUUUAAAAUAGAUAUAGAGGAUUAAGAGUUCAUAUAUAUAUAUAUAUAUAACAUAAAAACCUUUUCCCCUAUCUGAUAUAAGAUAUUACAAUGACCCUCCAUAUAGAUACAAUAUUUUAAUUUGUUAUAUCUCGUGGGAUUAUGGGGCCAAACAAACAAACAUUCCUUGCGAAACCAAACAAACUCUCACACAAGGAUUAGGGAUCGACUCUAAUACUAUUUGUAACACCUAUUUCUAAUUGUAUAAAUAUCAUCCACUCUACACCCAAGGAACCCUUAGGGUUUUAAAACACAUUUGUAUGAUUGAGAGGAGCUCAUACAUAGAUAGUAUUAGGGAAAAAGUUUUCCUUGUUUGAUGUCGAAUAUCAAUAUCCUAUAUUAUUAUCAUUAUAUCGAUCCCACAAAAUUGUAGAACCAAACAAACAAAUACCCCUUACUCUUAAUCAUGUAAAUAUUAUCCACUUUGCACCGUAAAUACUCUCAUGACUUUAAAACGUGUCUACAAGAUUAAAAGUAAUCUAUACAUAUAUAGCACCAAGAAUUUUUUUUCCCAUUCAAUGUGGGAUAUCACAACCCCCUCCUCCAUAUAAAUACAAUGUUCUUGUGGGGCCAAACAAACUUCUACAUCUUAUGGGGCCAAACAAACUUCUACAUCAAGGUCAAGAAUAAACUCUAAUACCAUUUGUAAUUACUCACUCCUAAUUGUGUAGGUAUUGUCUGCUCUAGACUAAGACCCUUAUGACUUUAAACGCAUUUAUAGGAUUAAGAAGAGUCCAUACAAAUAUAACGUCAAGAACUUUUUUCAUUAUCCAAUGUGGGUUAUUACAACCAUCUCACCUCCCAUGCAAGCACAACAUUAUCUUUAAGUCCCAUGAGAUUACAAGGCUGAGCAAACAGACAACCCUUCUCUUGUCCCCAGUUGUCCUACCCUUGGAAAUGUUUCCACCCAGUUUUCAGUUUCAAACAUAAUCCUAUUUCUAUCCUUCUCCAUGGAUUCAAGUUCUAAAAUUCUGUCUGGGUGCUUUAUCAAAGAUGCAAUCAACAUUAGCACUUCUCUAAACAUGUAGAUUGGUUUUUGAUGAUUUUGAAGAAUCCAAACUGUAAUAGACAAGAUAAAAUGGGCACCACUUGUCUUUAAGGUUCAAAGAAGGCCAUUCAUUUGAAAUUACAUUUACAUUUACAUUUACAUAUACAUUUGAAAUCACUUCUUUUAGAUGACUACUAUUUCUACAUCAAUUACAACAAUAGGAAUAGGAUACCAAAACUAGAAAUCUUUUUAUUAAUAACCAUAAUCAUAAGUUGUUCUUUCGUGAAAUGAUGCUGAAUUUUCUCUUAGUUGAAGAUUUAGCCUUACUAGAAUGAUAGAAUCCAAAAUAUUUAAACAAGGCACGAUGGAUUUUAAUGGAGUAAGCCUUUAAAUAGAUUUGUUUUCGUUGAUAAGCUGCAAAUGGGUACUGGAAACUUAUGGCAGUAACAUUUACUAAAUGGCUGCCAGAGGAUGACAAAUAACAUAAGAAAAAGGUAAAGCUAUGCAAUUAAGAUGAACAAAUUUGGUUUUCAAUUUGUUUUGAGAAAAAUAGAAUAAAUUUACAUUGUUCUCUUGAGGAAAAAAGAACCCAACUCAUAAUUCAAAAAUUGUUGGGUUGGUUUCUGUGGUCAAUGGUGUGACAGAUUUGGUAUCCUUCAGGCUGGUCAUUAUGUGACUUUCCUCCUUGCUCAUGAGCAAUUCAAGCCACAAGUUAGAUUGAUGAAGGCUUCUUCUCUGCAUGGGAUUGUAAGUCCACCCAGUGGAUGAUCAAACCCGAACUCUUCCUCAGCCUGACUUAGCAAGUUUUGGAAUGAAGGAUGCUUCAGGUAUGAAAUUGGAAUCACAAAUCUCUUCUUUUGAGUUUCUCCAACGUAGACAGGAACAUAGCCUUUGGGCACAUUUGUGGGCUCUGGAGAUGGAAGAAUGCGUCUCAGGAUCUGCUUGGCAGGAAUAAUCCUCUGAAAACGGAUAGCCAUGAGUUUCAAACUUAGUUCUUCAAACCAAAGUGGUUGAGAGAAAUGGAUUUCUAGAUGUUUGGGAAGCAAGAAAAGCUUUGAUACCUGGUUGUUGUGGCCAUAGAAUAGAUGUAUUUAUAGAACAAAUGCAAUAAGGCCAGUUUUCUCAAAUGCAAUGAAUGGUGGAAAGACAAUUGCAAUGGGGGUCCCUUAAAGAAGAUAUAUCACAGGUCAUCACAUGGUCUUGUCUCUGAUGCUUUCAUGUAUUUGUUGGUACAUCUUGGCCUACCAUUUAACAGAACAAACAGCAUAGCCCUACCCAAAAUUAUCAUCAUUGUAUUGCAUCCCACUGAUUAUAAUGAAUCGAAUUGAUCAUGUGGACAAAAACAUAACUUGAAGGACUAAAAUGCAGACCAGACUUCUCAUAUUAAUGGACAAAAUGCUACAAACUAUAGCAGACCACAAGUACCAGAUGUGUUAUAGGUUAUGACAGUACCAAAUAUAAGAGCAGACAAGUUAUCUUCUAAUGUGAUGUUUUUUGCUACCGUACAAGUGCGAAAUUGGUGCUGAGUCCGAGUCUUCAGCCUGAAUUUAGAGAGGUGACAGAUUGAGUGAACUCAUUGAACCGACAUCAUCAUUCAAACGAUGCUUAUGUCACGACUCAAACCUACCUGAUAUCGACCAAACCCUAGAAAAACAUGAAUUGGAUAAAGAAGCCUUUUAUUUCAACAGUCAAGUAAAAUAUUUUGUGCCAUAUAUGUAUGGUAUUGUUCUCAUGAAGGAAAACCUGUUUUCUCUUAGAAAAGAAUUUUUAUAAAGGGCCAAGAAAAAAAUGUACAUGGAAUUGCAUUUCCUUCCUUACAAAGUCAUUGGUGUUUUUUCUUUUUAUUUUCUUUUGUAAGCUCUUUUAAUACAUGUAGCCCAUUCAAAUGUGAAGUAAGGUCGAGGAAGAUAUCUUCUCUGCAAGAAAUUCUGAGACCACCCAUUGGAUGAUCAAAUCCAAAUUAAUCUUCUGCCAUAUGUAGUAGCUCUUGGAAUGUAGUUGCCCAAUUGUUGAAAUAUAUCAUGUCCUCUAACUCACUGUCCAGUGCAAAUCAAUCCCAAAAUCAUAUUGCGGUCCAGGUUCUGACAUGAAGUAAUGAUUCAUGAACUAAAAUAGAACAUGGCCAGAUGCUGGAAGACAACCAAAAACUCGUACAAAUCCUCAUGCUUCUCCUAUUUCAACCAUUGGUUAGACAGGGUAAUGUCUUUCUCUUCCCUCCUGUCUGAAUUCCCAUAAAACUGAACAUAUGCUUAGCCUUCCCUCUUAAGCACUUUUCAUGCAUUUCAAUCAAGGAACUCAGUUGAAAGACUCCAUGUAUCACAGUAGUAAAUGGACAGACCACAGUGGAAUUCAUAUGUUUAUCUGGCUUACGGACCAGUUCAUCUCUGAAAAACGAGAAACAUUAGCUCCUGAAGGCUUUAUCAUCCACCCCCCAGGUGGUAAUUGCAAAUGUGUAUAUGUACACAAUAUGCCCUGCCAUUUAUUAGAGAACUACCAAAAAAAGACCACUUGAAAUCCCAGAGAUGGAGAAACCUCUUGUCGAUUUAAGAACUGUACAAAAGCUCAAUCUGUAUGUGCAUUAGAGGCAUGCCUGAGAAAUCUAAUUCCUUUCUGUCUUCAUGGGGAGGAGACACAAUGGGGACUUCAUUGGCCACAUUGAUAACUUGGCUAUUACCAUUCACUUAAUUACAGAGGUGCUGACAUCCCAUAUUAGACCCUUCAAAGCUAUGUAAUAACAAUUCAUUUUCACAGCUUGAACUUACCUUUCAAUCCAAUGACAGACUCGAACAUGAUUCUCUCCUGACAAAACAGAUACUGGCUUAGUUGAUAUGGAUGUAUUAUUAUCAUUUAGGCAUUUUGCUUUUUCCAUUUCCAAACAAAGAAACUGUGAAACAGCAAUGGCCAAGUUUCUGAGUGUUAAGAGGAGAAUACAAGGGAAUGGCAUGGUUUUUUUUUUUUCUCCAAAAAACAAAGUCAAAGUCAAAGAAAUCCUUCAUAUUCUUUAUGUGAAGCUGAAAACAGAGAUCCAUUGCUGUCAUAUGACAUCCCAGUUUUCAUUUGCUUGGAAUGUUAUCAGAAAGGGCGACCCUUCAUAUGGAAUUUGGAUAAUCUCUCUUGGAGCCCUUCAAACUUAACGACUAGAAGAAACACAUUGACAAGGACAUCUGAAUAAUAUGAUUUCCUUUAUGGAUAAUUUAUUGCAGGCAACAUCAUAACAUGAACUGAUGAUUUGUGAUUCAAUGUUAUUGUCUGAUAAUGUCAAAAGAAAUGAAUUAGUGGUAGUUUUUGUGUUUAUCAGAACACAAACAAGCUUCAGACAUUUAUCACUGGAAGGCUAUGGUUAGCCAAAUGAAUAUAGUCCCUACCAGUUGGUUGAAACAGCUAACAUUUUCAAGUGGGCUCCUCAAGUUUGUUCUGAUAAUUUUAAGCAGCAGGCCAUGACGAGUUGCAGCAAAUAAAUUUUUGGUAGUAAGACCACCGAAAUCUUAUUAUUAGUUGGUAGGCAAAACCAUGUGAUCCCUUGUGUUGAAUGUCCAUAUAUGGACCCUAUCAAAGACUUCUCUUCACACCAACCCCAUUUGAGAAACUGGCCAUACAGAAUUUGCUUGCACUAUAUAUAUUCUACUCAUCCUAAGGAUAUGGCAUUCCACUGCCAAAGUUUUCUUAUUCUAGCACAUCUCAGAGUACCAUUUUACUUACCAUUAAUUUUCUCUGAUCAUACAAGUCAUGGGUUUUCGCUUGCCUGGGAUUGUUAAUGCAAAGCAAGUCGUGCAGCAAGUGUGCAAGGGUGCAGAGGCCAAAAAUGUACCAAAAGGCUAUUUUGCUGUUUAUGUGGGAGAAGUUCAAAAGAAGCGAUUUGUGGUUCCAAUCUCAUACUUGAAGAACCCUUCAUUCCAGAACUUGUUGAGUCAGGCUGAAGAAGAGUUCGGGCUUGAUCAUCCAAUGGGUGGUCUCACAAUCCCCUGCACAGAAGAAGCCUUUAUUGAUCUUACUAGUAGUUGGAACUGCUCAUGAGAGGGGAAGAAGUUAUGCAAAUGGCUAGUCAGUAGGACAUGUAAUUUCUAACGCCAUUGACUUGUAAUCCAGUCUCUCCAAUUUUGAGUUAGGAGAACUGGGUUGUUUCAUUUCCACAAAUUGUAAAUUGUUCUAUACAUUUUUCUGUAUAGAAAGUUGAGAGUCAAAUCUCUCUACAACAAAACAUUCAAACAGAAUCUCUUGGUUUUCCUCUUUCUCAUUGAUUUUGUUUCCCCUGGUCUUCUUAUAUAAAUAGUCACCAUGUAUAUGCACAUCAAAUUUGAGAAGAGUAACAAAAAAAUCCUAGAAGCUAAGGCCUGCUUGAUGGUUUUUAGCUCCUUCACUGCAGAUACUGAUGUGCAUAGACCUGUCGUAAAUGUUUGGGCAGAAUAUGUUCAUUUUCCAUUUACUUCAACCAAAAGCUAAAUCUUCAGUCCAGGAGUUGCUUUUCAAUUACCAUGGUCAGUGAAGCAUUGGGAUCUUGUUUCUUCCUUUCUUUUUAUCUUCGAUUUUCUCGUUUUCCCCAUUCCUCGUAGCUAGCCAGAGUCUCAGCUUACUCUGUUCAAGACUAUAUUUGGAAACUAGUUACAGAUCAACCAGUUAAUAUAGAUUUUGAUAUUUUGCAAUGCAGUUUUACCAUAUAUACUGUAACUUUGAUGGGGUUAGGCCAGUUUUUCUUCCUACUUCUGUUCAGCAUCAUUGAAUAAAAAGGCAACAAAAAUUAGGGAAAAGUAGCAGAGCUGCUGAGUUGUCAUUUCAUAGUGAUAAUAUCAUCCAUUAGACUUGCACCCAGGUAUUAAAAUUAGUCCAACUGCUAGUGGAACUACUAGGAAACACUUCAUGUGCUCUUUACAAGGGUCUGUUGCAAGCUGGUGUACUAAAGCAGGUCGGUGCCAGUGAUUUUUGUUGAUGUCAUGUUGUUAACAGCAGCUUUACUUUUUCAUUCAGCUGAGAUAUACCUUGAAUAUAUGUCAUUUUCAUGCUUUUUACAGUUUGUUCCAUGUUUAUUUUCAUGAUCUAACAUAGGAUGAUAGUAACCAUAUACACGUUGUUCUUGUACAGUUCUUAAAUUGACAAUAGGCUUCUCCUGUUAGUAACUCUUGGAUUUGGAGUAGCACCUGUAUGGGUGGUUCUCUAAGAAAUGGUACGGCAUCAUACGUUGAACAUUAUGAAUAGGAAGGCGAAGCUGCAUGAUCCGUCAGAAAGUGUUGUCUCUCAAAAGAAAAGUUCCCAACCCUUUGAUCUAUAGAUACACUCAAUCUCAUAUUUAAAACCCACACAAGUCUUUGACAUUGUCUACCACCAAAGCUUUAAUUCCUUUAUCCUACAAUUCCCCCAAAAUCAUUUUCUUGUUCUUUUUCUGUAGAUAUAUAUGUUGUCUCCACUAUAAAUCAUGGACUUUUCGAUUUAUGAUUCUAUUUCUUUUCAUCUCUUAAAGAACCUCUUGACCAACUCUUACCAGAAGAACUUGGGAAGCUGAAAGCUAGUCAUUUGAGGAUUUGGGAUGAAAACAAGUUACAAUAUUGCAAGGUUUUCUACAUAAGGGAAAAAUGAAUCUUUGUUCCCUCAGGUUAAACUUGAGGCCAAGGGAUCUUUGUGUACUUGCUAUAUGCUGCAAGUCAACACUUGUGAGGCAGUUGGGUGCAUGCAACUACGAAUAACCAAUAAGCCUAUUGUUUUCCCUGCUUACAUAUCAAAUGCUAAGUUCUCUCUUUCCUUUUCCUAGAAAUACUGGCAGUAUUGAUUCUUCUAAAAGUCACUAAAUCUUCAGUAGACGGCUUGUUUUGUCCUUCAACAUGGCAGUGAAACAAAUCCCCUAUCAUAUAACUACACCAUCUAAUGGAUAAGCUAUCUUUUGGAGGAUAUAAUGUGAUGGUCAUACAAAUAACUCAAAGCCAGAGAUAUCUAGGCUUUUAAUCAUUUAUCAUUUGACAAGUGUCACACUAAGAUUCCUCAUCUCAGUUGCCAAAUAUUUAGGUUGCUGAUGGUUGUGUGUUGCAUCACAAUUGAAACAUAUGAGUUUGACCACCGCAAUGAAAGACUUUAUCUGAUUCAUGGUCUUCUGGGGUUGGUGAAUCUGCUUGAUUUGUGUCUAGACAUAGACAUCAUAGAACAAUAGCAUAUGAUAUGUUGGUAUGGUGCUUCUGUUCAAUCUUUCAUUCCCCUGAAAUUCUGGCUGAAACUCGUACUCGGCACCAACUCCUCACUCGGAUGUAACAAGAAACAUCAUCGCGUUAGAAGAUAACUUGUCUACUCAGAUGUUCAACAGGGGUGGCCUGCUAUAUUUUGAAGCAUUUUGUACUUGAAUAUAAGAAAUCUGGUCUCUGAGUUAGUCCCUGAAGUUAGGCUUUUAUCCAAAUUAUCAGAGGGAUAUACAUUGCAAUCAGUCGGAUGCAUUACAAUAAUAAUAAUUUCAAGUGGGACUAUGCUGCUUGUUCUGUUGAGUGGCAGGCCACAAUGAACCAGCAAUUACAUCACAGUAGGAAUGCUAUCAAAAUCUUAUUAUUAGUUGGGAAGCAAAACCAUGUGACUCUUUGUGAGUUAUCUCCUUUAAGGGACCCCAUUGCAGUAGUCUCUUCAUCACUCAUUCCACUUGAGAAUACUGACCAUACAACAUUUUCUCUUUAAAUAUACCUACUCUGUGGGCAUACAUCCCCCAAGUUUCAAAGCAUUCUUAUAUUCCGAAAUCUUUGAAAUCCUUUCCCACCAUCACUUUUUGAGAAACUAAAUUUGAAACUCAUGGCAAUCCGUUUUCAGAGGAUUAUUCCUGCCAAGCAGAUCCUGAGACGCAUUCUUCCAUCUUUGGAGUCCACAAAUGUGCCGAAAGGCCAUGUUCCUGUCUAUGUUGGAGAAACUCAGAAGAAGAGAUUUGUGAUUCCAAUUUCAUACUUGAAGCAUCCUUCAUUCCAAAACUUGCUAAGUCAGGCUGAGGAAGAGUUUGGGUUUGAUCAUCCACUGGGUGGCCUCACAAUCCCAUGCAGAGAAGAAGCCUUCAUUGAUCUAACUUGCAGUUUGAACUGCUCAUGAGCAAGGAGAAAGAUCUCAAAAUGGCCGGCCUCAAGCACUCUCAUCUCUAACACCACUGACAACAAUUUUGUAUCAUUGCGAAAUAGGUCUUUUUGAAGUGAAAACAAUGUAAAUUUCUUCUAUUUUUUUCUGUAAAGCAGGUUGACAGUCAAAUGUCUUCAUCUUAAUCACACAGAAAUAACUAUGUUCCUUUUUCUUUCUUUUCUCCCUUGUGAUUCCUUAUUAGCCAAAAAGAAGUUUCAUUUUUUCAGUUUUCGGUCUUUCUAUUACAUCCAUGCAACAGUUUGCUUCUCCCUCUGUGUAACGCACCAUCAUUCUAAAUUGUAAAACACUUAGCUCUGAUAUUGAAUUAAAAGUUCAGAUAAACAAGAAAGAUAUAAGCUGUAAUCAACAUGAAAAGUAGAAGACAUUCCAGGAAUAUUCACAGCUGGAAGCCAGAGGGAGAACAACAGUUAACAUGUCCCCAACAAAAAUCACUGGCAUUGAGCUACUUUAGUACAUCAACUUGCAAGGAACACUCUCACAUGAAGUGCCUCCUACUAGGGCCCAAGGCAGUAGAAUCCAUUUUAAAACAUAAGAUCAUUGGUUGCAGUGUUAAAUUGGAAAAUUUGAAUUAUUUUAAAACACAAGUGCCUCAUCUCUCUCUCUCUCUCUCUCUCUCUCUCUCUCUUCCAUUUUUUUUUUAUUAAAAUUAAGGAACAGGCUUAGCCCCAUGAAGAUCAGGUAAAUAUGGUAAAUAUGUAUAUAUAACCACUUUGAGAGACACAUUCAAAUGCUUUCAAUGCUAAUCAGAAAAAGUCAGAAAAGAUAAGGUUAUCAUCAAUAUAAACAAUUGCAGAGAAUGUAUACCAAUUAAAUGUCAUUUAUAAUAUUUAGGAAUUCCAAGGCAAUCAAAUUCUAUUCAUAAUGUCCAAGACAUACUGUGAAUGUUAUUUUAUCAUCUAUGUAUGGUAAUUGAACAAGUCUUUGAUUGAAGGUUUAGCUUUAGGUUUGCUUUGAGUGGUAAACUAAACAUUAUGACUCCCAAAUGGUUUAUUUAUCAAACCUUUGCUCAAAUUUUUGUGUUUUGGAUUGCUCAACUCAAAUUUUUUAGCUAUCUGGUAAUCUGAUCUAUAUCAACCAACAAGUGGGAACUAUAUUCAUUGAUCUACUAAGCAUAGCUCACCCAUAGCAUAUGAUAGAAACUUGUUGGUGUUCUAAAAAAAACAAAUUAUGAGCUCAUGUGAUGAUGUUGCUUGAAAUAAAUUUUCCAUAGGGGAAAUCACGUUGUUCAAAGUCCUUGUCAAGGUAUUAAACAACAAAGAUAAACAAAGGAAAAUGUAAUGGCUACCGGCAAGGAAUGGAUAUUGAUAAUAAAACAAUGCCCUUCUCCUGUCCCCAUUUGUCCUACCAUUGGAAAUGCCUCUACUUGGUUUUCAGAUUCAAACAUAAUCCUGUUUCUAUCCUUCUCCAUAGAUUCAAGUUCUAAAAUUCUGUCUAGAUGCUCAAUCAAAGAUAUAAAUCAACAUUGGCACUUCUUUAAGCAUGUCAAUUGGUUUCUGAUGAGCAUUAAAGCUCCAAAAUGGGCACCACUUUGAAUUAGGAAGGUUCAAAGAAGGCCAUUCAUUUGAAAUUACAUUUACAUUUUGACUACUAUUUCUAAUCCAUCAAUUACAACAACAAGAAUAGGAUACUAAAACUUGAUAUGUUUUUAUGAAUAACAAUCAUCAUAAGUUGUCCUUUCUUGAAAGUUGCUGAAUAUGGCCUUACCAGAAUAAUAGAAUCCAAAAUAUUUAAACUAAGUAGAUUUGGUUUCAUUGGACACUGGAAACUUAUGGCAAUAACUUUUACUAAAUGGCUGCCUGAGAAAGACAAAUAGCAUAAAAAAUAAGUUAAAGCUAAGCAAUUAAGAUGAACAAAUUUGAUUGUCAACUUUUCCAGAAAAAUGGAAUAAAUUUACAUUGUUCUCAAGACCAAAAAAGAAAAAAGAAAAAAACCCAACUCAUAAAUUCAAAAAUGCUGGGUUGGUUUUUGUGGUCAAUGGUGUCAUAGCUUUGGUAUCCUUGAGCCUGGUCAUUAUAUGAUUUUCCUCCUUGCUCAUGAGCAAUUCAAGCUGUAAGUUAGAUUGAUGAAGGCUUCUUCUCUGCAUGGGAUUGUGAGUCCACCCAGUGGAUGAUCAAACCCGAACUCUUCCUCAGCCUGACUUAGCAAGUUUUGGAAUGAAUGAUGCUUCAGGUAUGAAAUUGGAAUCACAAAUCUCUUCUUCUGAGUUUCUCCAACAUAGACAGGAACAUAGCCUUUGGGCACAUUUGUGGGCUCUGGAGAUGGAAGAAUGCGUCUCAGGAUCUGCUUGGCAGGAAUAAUCCUCUGAAAACGGAUGGCCAUGAAUUUCAAGCUUAGUUCUACAAACUAAAGUAGUUGAAAGAAAUGGAUUUCUAGAUGUUUGGGAAGCAAGAAAAGUUUGAUACUUUGUGGAUAUGCCCGUAGAAUAGAUGUAUUUAUAGAACAAAUGCUAUGUGGCAAGUUUUU